UACGUAGGGCGCAAGCGCUGUCCGGAAUUAUUGGGCGUAAAGAGCUCGUAGGCGGCUUGUCACGUCGGGUGUGAAAGCCCGGGGCUUAACCCCGGUUCUGCUUCCGGUACGGGCAUGCUGGAGUGUGGCAGGGGAGACUGGAAUUCCUGGUGUAGCGGUGGAAUGCGCAGAUAUCAGGAGGAACACCGGUGGCGAAGGCGGGUCUCUGGGCCAUUACUGACGCUGAGGAGCGAAAGCGUGGGGAGCGAACAGG
RNAcentral lists this ribosomal RNA (253 nucleotides) under uncultured bacterium. Its description in RNAcentral is "partial 16S ribosomal RNA". It matches the Rfam family "Bacterial small subunit ribosomal RNA", at positions 524 to 776 of the family's 1533-position model. The record is from RNAcentral.